UACGUAGGGCGCAAGCGUUGUCCGGAAUUAUUGGGCGUAAAGAGCUCGUAGGUGGCUUGUUGCGUCUGCCGUGAAAGCCCGUGGCUUAACUACGGGUCUGCGGUGGAUACGGGCAGGCUAGAGGCUGGUAGGGGCAAGCGGAAUUCCUGGUGUAGCGGUGAAAUGCGCAGAUAUCAGGAGGAACACCGGUGGCGAAGGCGGCUUGCUGGGCCAGUUCUGACGCUGAGGAGCGAAAGCGUGGGGAGCAAACAGG
RNAcentral lists this ribosomal RNA (253 nucleotides) under uncultured bacterium. Its description in RNAcentral is "partial 16S ribosomal RNA". It matches the Rfam family "Bacterial small subunit ribosomal RNA", at positions 524 to 776 of the family's 1533-position model. The record is from RNAcentral.